Molecule: ribosomal RNA, 497 nt
Filed under: uncultured bacterium
Lineage: Bacteria
Description: partial 16S ribosomal RNA
Rfam family: Bacterial small subunit ribosomal RNA
Source: RNAcentral
GAUGAACGCUGGCGGCGUGCCUAAUACAUGCCAGUCGAGCGAACAGACGAGGAGCUUGCUCCUCUGACGUUAGCGGCGGACGGGUGAGUAACACGUGGAUAACCUACCUAUAAGACUGGGAUAACUUCGGGAAACCGGAGCUAAUACCGGAUAAUAUAUUGAACCGCAUGGUUCAAUAGUGAAAGACGGCUUUGCUGUCACUUAUAGAUGGAUCCGCGCCGCAUUAGCUAGUUGGUAAGGUAACGGCUUACCAAGGCAACGAUGCGUAGCCGACCUGAGAGGGUGAUCGGCCACACUGGAACUGAGACACGGUCCAGACUCCUACGGGAGGCAGCAGUAGGGAAUCUUCCGCAAUGGGCGAAAGCUUGACGGAGCAACGCCGCGUGAGUGAUGAAGGUCUUCGGAUCGUAAAACUCUGUUAUUAGGGAAGAACAAAUGUGUAAGUAACUAUGCACGUCUUGACGGUACCUAAUCAGAAAGCCACGGCUAACUACGUG